GGAAUUUUGGACAAUGGGCGAAAGCCUGAUCCAGCAAUGCCGCGUGAGUGAAGAAGGCCUUCGGGUUGUAAAGCUCUUUUGUCAGGGAAGAAACGGUGAGAGCUAAUAUCUCUUGCUAAUGACGGUACCUGAAGAAUAAGCACCGGCUAACUACGUGCCAGCAGCCGCGGUAAUACGUAGGGUGCAAGCGUUAAUCGGAAUUACUGGGCGUAAAGCGUGCGCAGGCGGUUUUGUAAGUCUGAUGUGAAAUCCCCGGGCUCAACCUGGGAAUUGCAUUGGAGACUGCAAGGCUAGAAUCUGGCAGAGGGGGGUAGAAUUCCACGUGUAGCAGUGAAAUGCGUAGAUAUGUGGAGGAACACCGAUGGCGAAGGCAGCCCCCUGGGUCAAGAUUGACGCUCAUGCACGAAAGCGUGGGGAGCAAACAGGAUUAGAUACCCGGG
Molecule: ribosomal RNA, 440 nt
Filed under: uncultured Janthinobacterium sp.
Lineage: Bacteria; Pseudomonadati; Pseudomonadota; Betaproteobacteria; Burkholderiales; Oxalobacteraceae
Description: bacterial SSU rRNA
Rfam family: Bacterial small subunit ribosomal RNA
Source: RNAcentral